This 427-nucleotide ribosomal RNA is filed under the name uncultured bacterium. RNAcentral's name for it is "partial 16S ribosomal RNA". It matches the Rfam family "Bacterial small subunit ribosomal RNA", at positions 355 to 774 of the family's 1533-position model. The record is from RNAcentral.
UGGGGAAUAUUGCACAAUGGGCGCAAGCCUGAUGCAGCCAUGCCGCGUGUAUGAAGAAGGCCUUCGGGUUGUAAAGUACUUUCAGCGAGGAGGAAGGCGGUAAGGUUAAUAACCUUAUCGAUUGACGUUACUCGCAGAAGAAGCACCGGCUAACUCCGUGCCAGCAGCCGCGGUAAUACGGAGGGUGCAAGCGUUAAUCGGAAUUACUGGGCGUAAAGCGCACGCGGGCGGUCUGUCAAGUCGGAUGUGAAAUCCCCGGGCUCAACCUGGGAACUGCAUUCGAAACUGGCAGGCUAGAGUCUUGUAGAGGGGGGUAGAAUUCCAGGUGUAGCGGUGAAAUGCGUAGAGAUCUGGAGGAAUACCGGUGGCGAAGGCGGCCCCCUGGACAAAGACUGACGCUCAGGUGCGAAAGCGUGGGGAGCAAACA